Molecule: unclassified non-coding RNA, 1379 nt
Filed under: Hevea brasiliensis (rubber tree)
Lineage: Eukaryota; Viridiplantae; Streptophyta; Magnoliopsida; Malpighiales; Euphorbiaceae
Source: RNAcentral
GGUUGUGCAGAACUUUUUCAGGAUGUACAUACUGAACUCAUCAUGCACAGGCGUGCAUGGAUGAUAAAACGUGGAAUUCUGAAAGGGAAUCUUUCUUCAGAUUCAGCAGAACAAUAUCGUAAUGGCUUGUGUCCUCUCAUGCCUGAAGAGAUUGGUAUUCUCCUUCGAGCAUAUGGUUACUCAUCCGACACUAUCAUUUAUAUAUCUGGCGGAGAGGUCUUUGGUGGGGUGAAGAAGUUAAUUCCACUGCAUGCUAUGUUUGAGAAUGUUGUUGAUAGGACUUCCUUGAGCUCUCCUCUGGAGUGGGAUAAAGUAUAUGGUCAGGAGGCAAACCUUGUUGACCAAUAUUCAAUACCUCCACCUUCAGAUAAUGUGGUCAGGAGAUCACAGGCAUGGAAAAAUUCUGGCCCACGACCUCGUCCACUACCACCGCCCCCAGCACGGCCGAAGAUGUACAAUGUUGAAGGUUGGUGGGGUUGGGUAGCCGAGAGUGAUGAUGAGCCAGAAAGUACCAUCAUGGAGUUGAGAACUAAUGCUCAUCGGUUACUGUGGGAAGCAAUUGACUAUAUGGUUUGCACUGAAGCAGAUGUAUUCAUCACUGGAUUUGACCGUGACGGUAAAGGAAACCCAAAUCUUGCUAGUUUGGUUGUGGGUCAUAGACUGUAUCAGUUUCCUGCAUCUCGAACUUAUGGUCUGGACAGGAAAGAAAUUGCCAAACUUUUUGAGGAGAUUCGCGAUACUCUUUAUCAACCCAAUCACACCUGGAUAACAUCACUGCGCAAACAAUUAAGAAGAAGUUUAAUCGAUGGAUUGUUGGAGGAAUCCAAAAUCUCCAAAUCACAGUCUUUUCUUGCAUUUCCAGUUCCUGAAUGUUCUUGCAUUGCAAAUGAUUCCAUGAAGAGAUCAAUCAACACUUCAAGCCCUAUGCCAAAAUAUGAUAUUCCAGUGUUUUCUGGACAAAUAGACCAAUGCCCUUCUUGGAUGAAUGCCCCCACUUCUUCUCAAUCAAGGGAAGAAACAGAAGAGGAAAAUGACAAAGAUGAUUCGGCCUCCUCGAAUCUGUUCUUGUGGCUGGGUUAUGGCGAUCAAGAAGGUGAUAGCACAGACAUUAGCAACAAAGAAGAAGCUUUUGUGGAGGAUCAAGAAGAACUCGAAGGAGGAGAAAGAUAGGAAAAGAGAACCAACUAGUCAGAAAAAGGAAAGAACAACUCUUGCUAAACUGCAUCGGGUUCUUUUUAACAACACAUGCAGACUAGGGAAGCUCGUACGACUUGAGGUAAGCUUAGCUACCAAAAGAUGCUACAACUGACAUUUCAGAUUGUUGGAAUCCAAUUUUCACAGAAGAAACAGUUGUAGUUAAGGGUGACACUUGAUUUCUG